GGAGAAGAGAGAGGAGAGAAGAGGGGAGGGGAGGAGAGGAAAGUAGAAGAGAGAAUAGAAGAUGAGAGGUGAAGACAGAAGAGGGGAGGAGAGGAGAGGGGAGGAGAGGAGAGAGGAGAGGAGAGAGAAGAGAGGAGGAGAAGGGAGAAGAGGGGAGGAGAGGAGAGGAGAGAGAAGAGAGGAGGAGAGAGAAGAGGAGAGUACCGGAGAGCUCCGCCUCCUCGCGCUCAGUCUCUCCAUUACACACACCGAGAGUUACCGGAAAUUUCUGCUCAGGGUGAAAAGUGAAAGGAAUGGGAGCGAAGCAAAGUCGGAGGAAGAGUGAUGGAGCUGGGGCUCCUUCUGAGCAGAAACGUGAUGAUCCUGAGGCUGAGGUGAAACCACACCUGCAGAAGUGGAUAUCACAUCCAGAGAUUUUACUGCACAAGCUGCUGUUAGUGAAGAACCUGAAGAUGUUCUAAACAAAAGCAUGGAGACAGUGGAAGCCAAUAUGGCGUCUGUCAAUGUGGAGGAUCCGACAGAGAUGGUGGCUGCGGUUCCAGACCCUCAAGCCAAGCAUGACUCACUGACGGGUUUGUCCCAAGAGGCUUCAACCAAAAUUGAGCUUUCCAUACCCGAAUCUCCAGCAGACCCCGCCCCCGUCCCAUGUGAGCCUUUAAUCACAGAGGACCUGAGUAUCCCAGAAGCUCCGGAACAUGGUGCAGAAGCCACAGUUGGAGAUGUUGAAGCUUUAGCAAAGGAGAAUAAAGAGAAUUCUGGUCAGGAGGCAUCUGAGACUGAGGAGCUGUUUGUGUGUGUGAAUCAGGAUGAUGCAUAGUCACCAGAUGAACCUCUGAACUGAGAAAGUCUUGAACCCACAACCUUGUACUUUGACCCAUUGGUUGCCCUGGGAGAUGUGGAGCAGGGGGCGAAUGUGACUGUCAGCACGGUCAAUGAACUUUAUAAACCAUGUCAUUGUGUACUGAUAGAAAACAACUGGUACAAGGAUAAUGAGUACAAACAGUGAAGAGAGAGCAAUUAAUAAAUCAUGAGGUUAUUGAUUUAAGUGUUAAUAAUACAAAUAUAUUCUCUGCAAAGCAGUUAUAGUGUUACAGGCCUGAAUGAGCACUGGAUGUAAAACACAAACUCAAGAGAAAAACAAACCGCAAUCCUCAAACGUGUAAUCCGCUUUAUAUAUUAUUUCGACCAGCAACUACUGUUUCUGGAAAAGUUGCAAAAUUGAAUUAAACCCAGUGGAGUAAAUCAUCUCCGAGUGUAUUUUUAUAAACUACAUUCAACAAUCCCAUGACUGAGCUGUUUCAGGAAACGUGUGGAACAAAGCCAAGGAUAUCUGGGAAAGAUGUGGAGUCUCAGUGGACAGAAAAAGAAAAAAAAAACACUUAUUCAGAAUGUAAUGAGAUUUCCAUGUACUGCAUCAAGAUUCCAUUUCCUCUUUAGAACACAUAUACCUACACUAUAUAGCCAAAAGUAUGCACACACACAUGUUGAACAUCUCAUUCCAGAUUUAUUCCCCGUUUGCUGCUAUAAGAACCUCCUCCACUCUUCUGCGACGGCUUUUCACUAGAUUUUGGGGCGUGGCUGUGGGGAUUUGUGAGUGUGAUUUUGGGAUUUUGGGGCGUGGCUGUGGGGAUUAGUGAUCAUUCAGCUACAAGAGCGUUAGUGAGGUUGAAGUCAGGUGCUGAUGUUGAUGUUGAUGAUGUAAAGAGACUCCAGUUCCAGUUCAUCCCAAAGGCGUUCAGUGAGGUUGAGGUCAGGGCUCUGUGCAGGACACUCGAGUUCUUCUACCUUCUUCUAACCUUCACACACCACGUGUUCACAAUGACAUAUGGGUGUGGUGGUCAGGUGUCCACAGUCUUAUGGCUGUAUAAUGUAUGUUUUCUCAGAUGAACACACAGAGGGAAGGACAGAAUAUUUUAUCCAGGGACAUGGUUGUACGGUCCAAUUUCAAUCCAGUGUACAUCUGGCUCUUAACAUCACAGAGAUUCUAAAAAUCGUUACUCGA
Long non-coding RNA from Ictalurus punctatus (channel catfish), 2002 nucleotides. The record is from Ensembl. NCBI's taxonomy places the organism in Eukaryota, Metazoa, Chordata, Actinopteri, Siluriformes, Ictaluridae.